UCAAAACGAAUUUAAAGAUUUAUUUUUUUGUGUUUCUUCAAUUCUCUAUUGAAGAGUUUCCAUCAUCAUACACUUUCUUCUUUUUCCUACAAGAUUAUAUUAUUCUAGCAAAUCAAUUUCAUAAUUUCUUUUUUGUUUUAUACAAUUUCUGAGAAUUUUUUUGAAAGAAAAACAAACAUAAGUUAUUGUUGUGUUAUAAAAAUAUGAUUUUUGAUGAUUUUCAUUCAAUCAUGAUAUGCCAUGGAGGGAGAUGAGAUUCAU
RNAcentral lists this long non-coding RNA (261 nucleotides) under Capsicum annuum. Its description in RNAcentral is "long non-coding RNA (CANN_LNC006416)". Lineage: Eukaryota; Viridiplantae; Streptophyta; Magnoliopsida; Solanales; Solanaceae. The record is from RNAcentral.